This 388-nucleotide ribosomal RNA is filed under the name uncultured bacterium. RNAcentral's name for it is "bacterial SSU rRNA". It matches the Rfam family "Bacterial small subunit ribosomal RNA", at positions 30 to 420 of the family's 1533-position model. The record is from RNAcentral.
AUUGAACGCUGGCGGCAUGCCUUACACAUGCAAGUCGAACGGCAGCGGACCUUCGGGUGCCGGCGAGUGGCGAACGGGUGAGUAAUAUAUCGGAACGUACCUUUCAGUGGGGGAUAACGUAGCGAAAGUUACGCUAAUACCGCAUAUUCUGUGAGCAGGAAAGCAGGGGAUCGCAAGACCUUGCGCUGAUUGAGCGGCCGAUAUCAGAUUAGCUAGCUGGUGAGGUAAAGGCUCACCAAGGCGACGAUCUGUAGCGGGUCCGAGAGGAUGAUCCGCCACACUGGAACUGAGACACGGUCCAGACUCCUACGGGAGGCAGCAGUGGGGAAUUUUGGACAAUGGGCGCAAGCCUGAUCCAGCCAUGCCGCGUGAGUGAAGAAGGCCUCGG